AAACACUUUCGUUACAGUCCCACCAGGACCACCGCAAAAUCAACCAGAUAAGUCUUCAACAGUAAUAACAGUAGAUAUUUAUAGGGUUUUUGAGUAUAUUCUCUGAAUCUCUUCAUUUCUCUCUCUCUCUCUCUCUAAAAAUGGCAGUGUUUUGUUUCUCUUUCUACACCUUCAAAUUCAGUACUCUCCUUCACUCUCACUCUUCUUCUUCAACUUCGCAUUUGACAGAACAGUCGCUCUCCAAUUUGUUUGGAGGAGAGGGAGAAGGAAUCGUUAAACGGAGUAAGAGGAGAAGGAGCGGCGCGUGUAGGUUCGUGGUGCUCUCUACGCACUCCAACUCUCGGAUUCUCAAGUCCAACCGCCGGUCGCGCUUCGGCAACGUGCUCUCGCCGUUUGAUAGCGAUGAGGAGAAGGACGACGAAGACGAAGACGACGACGACGAUGAUGAUGACGGCGACGUGGCGGAGAAUGAUUGGUUGCCCAAUGAUGAUUUUGCCGAAACUGCAGACUUUGAUGUCAAUGGAAAGAGAGUUAAAUCACAGGACACGCAUAAAACUAGAAAAGGUGGCCGGAAACAAUCAGAAAAAGGCCAGGAUCUAAGACCAUCCAAGUCUGGACAAAGCCUCAAAAUCGAUGAAGACCAAUUGGAUGUGAAAAAUGGCAAGAACAGGUAUGCUCGAUUAUCCGAAGAAAUUGAAUUGGAUAGAAAAUGGUUUCCACUUCUUGAUUACUUGAGAACGUUUGGGCUUAAGGAUUCGCACUUUAUUCAAAUGUAUGAGAGGCACAUGCCUUCCCUUCAAAUAAAUGUGUGUUCAGCACAAGAAAGGUUGGAGUACUUGUUGAGUGUUGGUGUCAAAUAUAGAGAUGUAAAAAGAAUAAUUUUGAGGCAGCCGCAGAUUUUGGAGUACACGGUGGAGAACAAUUUGAAGUCUCAUGUUGCUUUCUUGAUGGGUUUGGGUAUUCCAAGUUCCAGAGUAGGGCAGAUAAUUGCUGCUGCACCAUCUCUGUUUUCUUAUAGUCUUGAGAAUUCGUUGAGACCCACGGUCAGAUACUUGGUUGAGGAGGUUGGCAUUAAUGAAAAAGAUUUAGGUAAAGUCGUGCAGCUUAGCCCUCAGAUCCUGGUUCAGCGCAUUGACAUAUCAUGGAAUACUCGUUAUAUUUUUCUGUCAAAGGAAUUAGGAGCUCCAAGAGAUAGUGUAGUCAAGAUGGUGAAGAAACAUCCUCAGCUCCUCCAUUACAGUAUUGAUGAUGGAUUACUGCCUAGAAUUAAUUUUCUGAGGAGUAUUGGGAUGCAGGAUUCUGACAUCUUGAAAGUUUUGACCAGCCUCACACAGGUAUUAUCAUUGUCACUGGAGGAGAAUCUGAAGCCUAAGUAUAAGUACUUGAUCAAUGAACUUCAUAACGAGGUGCAUUCCUUGACAAAAUAUCCCAUGUACUUGAGUUUGUCUUUGGACCAAAGAAUUCGUCCUCGCCAUAGGUUCUUGGUUUCCCUAAAGAAAGCUCCAAAGGGGCCGUUUCCUCUUAGUUCACUGGUUCCAACUGAUGAAAGCUUUUGUCAGCAGUGGGCUGGAACCAGUGUAGAUAAAUAUUUGGCAUUUCGGCAGAGACUUCUACUUAAGGAGUUUGCUCAGAAAUAUGAGAAGAAAGGAUAACACACUGCCUUCAAGUGUGACCUAGGCUUAUGAUACAAGUAUUGGAAUAACAGUAUCUUCAUUAACUUCAGCAGCCAAUAUACUUGUUUUUGUUAUAAUGAGAUUAUUGGGUGAAGCUCGGCAUCUUUGAUUUUUAUAAGCCUCCAGUAAGCAAAUGCUACUGCUGUGGUUUCAUCAAUACUAUAAUCUGUGCUGAAGCUUCUCUAGUUGCAUCAUACAGAGUCGAUGUUUGUAGUUGCUUGCAGUCUCAGUUGAAGGCCUGUGAUAGUGGUUCCUUAAAAAGUUCUUGUCAUUUAAACACAAAAUGACAGCGUGGCAAGGUCUGUUAUCUUAAGGUAAGUUUAUAUUCCUCGAAAAUAAUUGCAUAUAGAACAAUGCAGUUUAGGAGGGAUAGAUAGUGGAUAUAUGCUGGAAUUGGGUCUACCAUUUGACAAUUCACUGCAAAAUGGUUUAUAUUCUUAGAUUAGUUGAUUGCAACAUUAUGAAUAUAUGCCUUCAAUCCAUUAAAAGCUCUCCUUUUUAGAUGCUCCAAAAAGUUAAUAAGGUAUGUAUCCACAUUCCAGCUCAUUUAUGAGGACAAUUUUGAAGGAGCAUGUUGUACUUGGUAUAAGUUCCUAAAAAAACUUCAUGCUUCCAUGCAUUUUUGGUAACAAAUACUUUUUGAACUGAUUUUAUGUAUCUUACUUUUCAUAUAUGCUUUCAUCAUCGACACAGACCUAGGAAUAGCAUCUCAUAAAAAUGUAAAAUACUUCUGUUUAUAUGUCCCCAUCAUAUGUAUUUAUAGUGGAUCUAUUCAUAAUAAAGUGACUAAAUUUUACGUUGGACGUCAA
Quercus lobata is the source of this 2482-nucleotide RNA transcript. It is a transcript of the gene named Mitochondrial transcription termination factor family protein, with no coding region annotated. NCBI's taxonomy places the organism in Eukaryota, Viridiplantae, Streptophyta, Magnoliopsida, Fagales, Fagaceae. The record is from RefSeq and is a predicted model, not a curated record. The transcript has 4 exons.